This is a long non-coding RNA of Spinacia oleracea (spinach), 731 nucleotides long. RefSeq lists it as uncharacterized. The record is from RefSeq and is a predicted model, not a curated record. Lineage: Eukaryota; Viridiplantae; Streptophyta; Magnoliopsida; Caryophyllales; Amaranthaceae. The transcript is spliced from 6 exons.
ACCACUCAUUCACGGUAGUAGGGGAAGAUCAGUACUUGAGAGCUGGCAGUGUUGGUCUCCCUAAUGUUGACGAUUUCUUUUCAAUGCUAUUAUGUAGCACAAUCUCCAUCUUCUUCGGCUUCCACUGGAUCAACUCCAGCUACUCCAGGGCAAAGUAACCUUUUUACAUUGGAAUAAAGGACAGGAGAUGGCUCCUACAAUUGGGACCGAAGGUGGAACUCUCUUAGUUAGAAAAAUACCAGUUCCAGGCCCAAGUUAAGCAGAGAUCUUCAUACAUCUAUUGUUGAGCAACGCUUUCCAUUGUUUGUUAUUAUUUUACAGAAAAUGUUUCCCAAAGGCGAUCUACCUGAAUGGGUCUGCAAUGCCAUGGAGGUUGCAGAAGUUGAUAUUUCUUCAUGCUGUAGAUGAUCUUCAACGCUUUCCAAGCAGGUUGUUUCCACCAAAUUAUAUCUUAUACUUGGUUUUUAUGUGCCAAUUUUGACUAGGUAUCAUAUAUAGGAAGGAACACAUGCUUUUACCACAAAACUGUCCGAAUUGUGUACCAUUUUCGCUUCAGAAUAUGCACAACCAUUUUUAUAAUUUUUUUCGGUAACUAACAAGACGGUACAGAACAAAAGAGGGUGUUGAAAUGAAAAAAGAACUAAUGGGUGGUUUAAUGUGGAGAUUUUUGAACAUAUACUUAUAUUUUAUAUGAUUUCUCUAAACCCAUACUUACUACACAAGGCAAAAGA